This 4267-nucleotide long non-coding RNA is filed under the name Homo sapiens (human). Its description in RNAcentral is "HSALNT0363609". Lineage: Eukaryota; Metazoa; Chordata; Mammalia; Primates; Hominidae. The record is from RNAcentral.
UGUUUUUUGAGAAGGAGUCUCUCUCCGUCACCCAGGCUGGAGUGCAGUGGUGUGAUCUCAGCUCACUGCAACGUCUGCCUCCUGAGUUCAAGUAAUUCUCUGGCCUCAGUCCCCCAAGUAGCUGGGACUACAGGUGCAUGCCACCACGCCCGGCUAAUUUUUGUAGUUUUAGUAGAGACAGGGUUUCAUCGUAUUGGCCAGGCUGGUCUUGAACUCCUGGCCUCACGUGAUCUGCCUGCCUCAGCCUCCCAAAGUGCUGGGAUUACAGUUAUGAGCCACUGCACCUGGCAUUGAACCGUGGUAUUCUUGCUCUAAAAUUUGUACUGUGUCUUCAGGUAGAAGCAAAGGCCCUGUCCUGGAGGUGUCUGUAGAUUGGCCAGGACCCAGACUGGAGCCUAGAAUGUAACCUGGCGGCUGGGGGUGGGGUGGAGGGUGAAGAUGUUACAAAGAUGUGGCUUGUUUGGCUCAGACACGUUUAAAAAAUAAAGACAUUUGACAUAAAAAUUAUGCAUUUCCUGCUUCUCCUUUAAAAGCCAGAAGCAUUGGCAGCGGAAGGCUGGAGCUAAGCAAUGAUCAUCCCUUUGUCAAAACUUGGGCAUACCUUUCCACUUGGCCACAGACCCCACCAUGCCCUAUUGUCUGGCUUUUGUGGGCAGUGAGCGUGGGGGUGGAGCUGUGGAGUCCAGGCUUCACCAGCAGGAAAGGAAUGUGAAGGCUCGUGCUGCGCCUGGUGGCCAGUCCUCAAAGCUGGCAUUGUGAGCAGUGUGAAGAACCACCUUCUAGUGGAGUGAGCGAAGGCAGGAAGAACCCUGAGCUCCAUCCUCCUCAAGUAAUUCUCCUGCUCCUGAGCCCUCCCUCCUCACCCACACGAGUUCCGAUUCCUGCCCUCCGAGGGUCCCAAUCCUGGUCCUCCUUGCCAAUGUGCCAACCACCUCAUACAAAUGUUGUAUAAUACCCAGCUGCUGCCAGGCGCUGGACACGGUGCUUUCCCACGCCUGAUCCCCUCGGAUCCUGCCCCGGCCCCCUCCACGCAGGGACGACGCACUCCAUUUUAUAGACACAUAGCUGAGGUUCUGAGACGUCAGGGGACUCAUCAAGUAAGGGCAGAAACCUGGACCCAGGCCUUCUGAUGCCCAGAUAGGCUGGCAUUAGGGACGGGGCUUCCCACCCACAUGAGUGUACAAUGAAGAAACAGCCUUGAGUGCAGCAGCCUUACGAGGUGGCCAAAGGGACAAGCCCAUCCCCCUGAAAUCUGGAGUCCAGGAGUCACCACAGCACACAGCACAGAGGGUGGCAGCGAGCGAGAAGCCAGGCCUGGCGGGAGCGGAUAGUUGGGCUAUGGUCCCUUCCCACAUUGAUUUUCACAGCACAGAGUCACACAAACUCCUCAUAGAGGCGUCCAGAGGCAGCAGUUGAGCGAAAGACUCUAGGUCUACAUGGGAUCUCAUCAGGGUGAGCAUGGGCAGCUGACCACACUGCUGCCAACCUCAGUCUCCACAUCUGAGAAAUGGGCUUGUUACCAGUGCCUGCCUGAGAGGGUCUAUCACAGGGUGUCCCUGACUUCAUCCACAAGCGGUGCUCAGGGCAGGGCCCGCAUAUCACAGGGUGUCCCUGACUUCAUCCACAAGCGGUGCUCAGGGCAGGGCCCGCAUCUCUAAGGGCUUGACAGAGGACUGCUCUUACGGCCCAGCUCGGUCGCAGGGAUCUCCACGUGUCCCCUUGAGAGGCUCAGCACAGGACAGAGGCUACAUUUUGUACCACCCCGUUUGUAUAAAAUACCCAGAAUAUUUAUGGUAAAUAUAUAUAAAUAAAUAUAAAUAUUUAUGGUAAAUUUUUAUGUAGCUGCUCUGGAGCAGUGGAGGAGCCCAGCCCCCCUGAAAUCUGAAUCCAUUGAUUCAGGUAAAUCCAGAGAGACAGAAAGCAGAUUGGUAGUUGCCAGGGGCUGGGGUUGGGGGAAAGGGGGACCGACUGCUUCAUGGGGAUAGGGUUUCCCUUUGAGGUCAUGAAAAUGUUCUGGAAUUAGACAGAGGCGUGGAUGCAUAACAUGUGCUAAAUGCCACUGAAUUGUGCACCUAAAAUGGUUAAUUUUAUGUUGUGUGAAUUUCACUGCAAUUUACAAAAAGCUAGUGAUAGAAUGAUGAGCGUAGAUUCCCCUUAUGUGUUAAUGUGCACCUGCCACAUCUUGGAGGAAUCACAGGAGAAUGGGCCGGAGGGACACACACAUGUGUGGUUACCUGUGGCGGGGGGCAAUCUGUCCAUUUCAUCCGGGAUUUCUCAGUGUGGGUCUGGGAAUCUGGGGUGUUUCUGAAUCUCCCCAGGGAGCUUGUUAAAAUGCAGAUCUCUGACCUACAGAGUCACCCAGGGUCCCCGGAAUCUGCAUUCUGAACAAGCUCCGUAGGCUGCCAGCAGGCAUCUGGAAGUACCGACCCCUCCGUCUUUCUGCCGUCCUUCUCCAACCAUCCCUCCAUCCAUCAGGUUAGCUGCCUCUCCUCCCAGGCUGCAUCCCACCCCGCCUCAACUUAUGCCAAUGUCUCUACUACUCAGGCUUCACUCCAAUUUCCCUAAUUUCGCGGCACCUCCUUAGCUGGCUGGCGGACUCCCUUUCUGAGCUCUCUCUCCCCUGAGAUGCUGUUGCCCAAACCAGGGCACAAUCUCAGGUGCUUCAUCUGACACUCUCUUGGUUCCCCUGAGCGAGCUGCAACCCGCUCUGUAGCUGCCCAGUGGACAGCCCCAUCUCCCCAGUGAGAUCCAUGCUCCUCACGGGCAGGGGUCGCGUCUUCCAAGCCUCUGCCCUCCACCCCUGAGCCCACCAGCUCUGGGAAGCAGGCAGGGCACAGUCACACAUGACCACAGAGCAGGGGUGCAUCCUGCUUGGACUGUGCAUGUGGGGUCCCUAUCCAUUUCCCUUCUUGAAAUGUGACCCCCUGCUCUGGCCUGACUUGCAUCCUCUCAAAUUCACAUGGAAGCCCUGACCCCCCAGGUGAUGGUAUUUGAAGAUGGGGCCUUUGGGGGUUGAUCGGGUUUAGCUGAGGUCAUGAGGGUGGGGUCCUCGUGAUGGGAUUCGUACCCUUGGAAGAGGAGACAACAGAGAACGGGCUUCCUGUCUCUCCCUUUGCCACCUGAGGACACAGGGAGAAGGUGGCUGUCUGAAAGCCAAGGCGUGGGCCAAAUCAGCUGGCACCUUGAUCUUGGACUUCUCCAUACUCAGAACUGUGGGAAAUGCAUGCCUGUUGUUGCAGGCACCUGUCCGUGGUAUUUGGUUAUGGCAGCUGGAGCAGACUAAGACACCCACCCCCUGGGAAUAGAAACCACCCUUUGCUAACCUCCAGUUCCCGAGAAGUGCAAUGUUUGCUUAGUGCAGACUCCAUUUCCAUGAACUAGAGGUUAGAGAGGGGUCUCCUGGGGAGUGGCGGGGCGGGGGCAGGGCUCUGGUCCUGCACGAGAGUGCUCGGCAGAGAUGGGUGGGACACAAAGGCCUCCAGCCUUCUCUUUCGCUCUGAGUCACCGGGCACCCUACCUAUUUAUCCCUGGAACAAGUUUAGUUCCCGCAGACGAUCACAGUGCAUCCCCUUCGUCCCCACCUAGCUGGGAGUGACUCAGCUGGGUGACUUGUCAACUCCAUGUAAAAUCUCAGGCCCAGCCCCUGGGAGGGGUUCCAGUUCCAUCUCUGGCAUUUCAUUAAAGUUGGGACCAUCUUUCUCCGGCUUUUUGCAGCCAGGCUCAAAUCAGAUAAACUCCUUUGUUCUUCGUGGAACUGACAAGCAGUUAAAACCCCAUUAUUAUGCUAUAAUUUCAGAAAAUGGAUCCAAGUGAAUAGCUAAAUAGGGCUCAAGGCUGCUUAAUGAGACAUCUUAUUUGAGGCUUUCAAAUGUCAGAAAUUCCAGACAGCAGCAAGCUGAAGUCUCUGGGACCAACGUGUCAGCUCCAGGAAAGCUGGACCCCACGGUGCAGUGGAAGCAAAGAUUAAAACAGCAGGCUGGAGGAGCAGAAAUGUGAACAGCUGGAGGCCGGAAAAGAAAGGACACAAGCGGAGAAGAAACACCAGAGGAAAAAUAAUCCCUUAGAGGGUAAAGAACAAAUAAUUGAAUAAGGGAUUAAAAAACACACAAGGAGAGAUCCCUGGUAAUUACCCUUGACAGCCAGUGUGAAAAGGGCCCGGGAUGGGGGCUUUGUCCCUCCCCUCUCCGCUCACACCUCUCAGCCGCAGUAGGUUCUUUCCUGUUGCUCCUGUCUUGAUUUAGAAUAAGCUCCUUUUCUCUAAAGCAAA